GGAGGCAAAGAAUAUAUGUUUGUGGAUGUAUAUGAACUGUUAGUGAAAUACCACUCUGAUUAAACUAGAAUUCUAAUAUUGACUGCCWUAAGCUGGCCAAUAAACAGUUUCRGGUGGGCAGUUUGACUGGGGCGGUCGCCUCCUAAAAGGUAACGGAGGCCUGCAAAGGUUUCCUCAGGCUGGUCGGAAUUCAGUCGUAGAGUAUAAGGGCAUAAGGGAGCUUGACUGCAAGACCUACAAGUCGAGCAGAGACAAAAGUCGGCCUUAGUGAUCCGACAGUACUGAGUGRAARGGCUGYCGCUCAACGGAUAAAAGUUACUCUAGG
This 325-nucleotide ribosomal RNA is filed under the name Gracilaria corticata. RNAcentral describes it as "partial large subunit ribosomal RNA". It matches the Rfam family "Bacterial large subunit ribosomal RNA", at positions 2150 to 2472 of the family's 2925-position model. The record is from RNAcentral. Lineage: Eukaryota; Rhodophyta; Florideophyceae; Gracilariales; Gracilariaceae.